ACUCAAGCUUGCAAAAUUCCAUCGCUGCACAUGUUAUGGCAGUUUAUACUCACAGCUCACUGAGAAACUUGUCUUUCCCUCAAGGUUGGAUUCACAAUCACAAACAGAUCUUCAGCUGAGAAAAAUCUUUGAAGGCCUGAAGGAAACAACAUGCGGAACAGAAAACAUCAUGGCAACAUUUGGGAUUAAACAUGGUAAAAUGGACAAUAGCAUGAAGCUUCAAUGAAAUUGCUAUGUUAGAUUUAGUAUCAUUUAUCAUUUUGCAGUUUAUGAACAACGUGAUGCAGCUGAAUGUCUGAAGAGGAUUUUACAUCAGAUCAGUCCACAGGCCUCUGAGGUGAGCACUUAUUAAAUCUGCAAAGUUUUUUACAGGGGAACAAAUCAGAAUCCUGUGUUGAAAAGUUACAUUUCUAGGUUUUCCGAGGACAGAUGACAAUCACAAAAAAAUGUUCCAAAGUCCACGUCAUCAAUGUAAAGACAGUAUCAUUCCGGACUCUCCCUCUGUCACCGAAAGAUACUCCUGAUACAACCUUUAAAGUGCAAAAUAACUUUGAAAGGAAUUUCCAGAUGAAAACAUGCCCAGGAGAUAACAUGUUGUACUGCAGUGAAUGUAACACGAAAAAAGAGGCAACAAUUGUGAGUUUGACCUCAAAUGAAAACACAAACUGUAAGCAGGCAAGAUAAUAUACUGAUAAAUACUGAGAUUAAAGUAUGCUUUUAUUAAGGUUUUUGUGUUAUUUAGAGAUGUGAGAUGGUGAAAGCUCCUCAGAUCUUGAUUCUUCUCCUCAAGAGAUUUGACUUUGACUACAACACCAGGUCACAUUUCAAAUCAGACUGCUGUGUGGAAGUGCCAUGUGAAUUACAGUGGAAGGUGAGGAAAAGUUACUUUUUCAAAUAUCUGAUUUAUAUUUGAAUGUUGUUCCUGUUAUUGUUUUUGAAAUUGUCAAUCAUGUUGCUGACUGUGUUCUUCAUUGUAGGACAAGACAUACAAACUGUAUGGGAUGGUGAAUCACAUGGGCAGUCUAAGAGGUGGACAUUACACAGCCACCGUCCUGUCUGAGGACAACACCUGGUAUGAGUGUGAUGAUGAUCAUGUCAGCAAGGUGAGGAAGAUUUAACUUUAUCUGUUCCAUUAAGACGUUACACAUUUAAUACACACCAACAGAAAGAUCAACAUUAAAAAGACAUUUGCUGACAUUGCUUUUCUUUUGUUGAAUCGUACAGAUUAACGACCAGCUGUUUGCAGAGGAAAGGACUUUCAGGUAUGUUUACAAAAAUGUUUCUUUUUAUAAAUAAUAGUUUGGGAUUUAUUUAUCUGUAAGUGUUCAGCACAUGUUGUCCCCAUAUUGUUUUUCUGUGCAAAUAAUAACUUUAAAAUUAUUCUACAUCAGAUCCAAGAGUGUCUAUCUCCUCUCGUACAGAGGUAGGACUAAGAACAUAGAUUACACAAUAUUUUAAUCAGGAGCAAUAUUAACAGAUGAUAUCCACAUAUGGACCAUAAAUGUACAUAAUUCAGUGUGUGUUUAAUUUCCACAGCACUACAGGGACUGCAUUAUGGCACAUAUGAUCAGGGAGACACAAAUGAUCGAAACUUACUCUCAUGGAAAGAUACCCAUCAUACAACCUACAGUGAGGUAAGCAGCCAAAACUAGAAGUCCUGGUUUAGUAUUUUAAUGUGAUGUGAGCCUGCUGAUCUAAUUUGGAAUGUAUACAACAUUUGUCCACAGGAAAGCAGCUUUAAAAGGAUUGUCAACACAAAAUCAUUUUCUGGAGACAACAAGGUGUACUGCGAUGAGAAGAUGAAAGAACCAAUGGUGAGUUUUGACCUUAAAAUCUCAACACAAACUGUCGGCAGAUCAAAUGUGACACUAGAAUCAAAUAAAAAGUUGUUUAUUCAUUUGCAA
This 1904-nucleotide long non-coding RNA is filed under the name Sparus aurata (gilthead seabream). Its description in RNAcentral is "lncRNA (ENSSAUG00010008579.1)". Lineage: Eukaryota; Metazoa; Chordata; Actinopteri; Spariformes; Sparidae. The record is from RNAcentral.